UUGUCUUAUUUUAUUAUUUCAAAUAUAUUUUUCAUGUAGAAACUUGAUAAAUUUUUCCUGCCGCCUGUUAGAAAUUUGAAAAUAAAUUUAUUUUACAAUUUUCAAAUAAAAUAAACAAAAAUUAUAGCGAAAAAUAAAUUACCCGGAAAAUAUAAAAGUUUUUUUUGGAAACUAUGGAUAAUUCUGUCAUACCAUUACCCGAAAUAAAUAAAGGAUCUUUAGAUCCUGUUCCCUUAAAAUCUCAAGAGGUUGCCAAAGAUAAUGUAGAUAAUUCUUCAGCCCGAUCGAGUGUUAAAAGUUGUAAAACAACUGUUGGAUCUGAAGCAAGUAGCAAAUCUAUACCAAAAUUAGUCAAUACAAAGGCUGCAAGUAAAAGUCUAAUAAGUCUUAACAAAAAUGAAAAUCUCAACAAAACCUCAAUAGCUCAAGCUAGAAAAACUACCUCGCCAAAUUCUUUAAAACCGCCUGUGAAGUCCAAAAUUCCGGCCAUGAAAAGAUCGCCCAGUUCCACUUCUAACAUAAACAACAAAACAACAGUACCACAAAAACCUCAAGGACGUACUCCACUGUGCCAGAAAAUUCCCCAACUAAAGCUUUCAACUGAAAAGCAAUCGCUGAACAUGAUUAGGAGCUCUAAGUCUAAAUCAAGCAUAAGCAGAUCCGUAUCACCGAAAAUUGAGGAAAUACCCGGUAGCAUUUCAAAAUCUAGUUUUUUAACAUCUGGAACAACUUUAAAACAAGCGGAAAUGAUAGCUAAAAGCCAAUCUGCUCGUUCAAAAUCAGAAUCGCCGGGGUCAGGUGCUAGUAAAAGAAGCGCAUCCAACAUAUCGACACGAAGUACACCCUGUGCCAGAAGAAAGGGGGAGAAAGAAACAAAUUUACGCAAAAUGUUAUCAACUGCUGGAGACCAUAAGCAAAUUGACCGACUUGAAAGUAACACAAAACCCGAGCAAAUUGGACGUCAACAGAUAACCGAAAACCUUAAGGAAAUCUCAACAGAGGAAAUUAAAUCCCCGGAUAUAGUUAAUGAUUUUAAGGAUAAACUUAAAACGCAUAUGGAUCAGUGGUUUUCCAGUUUUAAGGAUGAGUUAAACAAUACUAAGGAAGCUAAUGCAGUUGAUUUAGAAAAUAUGGAACAGCUGCAAAUCUUGCAAUCGAAUGGUAUUUUAUCCUUAAUAGACGAUUGGUGUGCCUCAACUGUAGAGGGUUGUGAUUCGAAAAUUGUGAACUUGCAAAAGAUGUUAGAGGAAUCGAAUAAAUGUUUGAGGGAUUCGGAACAGAAGUGUAAUGAGUUAACUAAACGGCUUGAUGAGGAAAGUAUUAAAUGGGAAAAGGAGUUGGCGGAGAAAGCUGCGGCAGAUCAUGAGGAAAUAAAAGAGUUACAAAAUAAAUUAAAAACUCAAGAUAAGCUAAACAAAUCCUCUAUACAAAAUAUGGAAAAGGAAAAGAAUAAUUUACUAGCUGAGAAAAAUCGCUUGCAUGAAGAUCUAAAUACCUGCAAAGAGCGCAUUGCUAACGCCAAUACAAAACUUCAAGCCUCCGAACAACAAUUGAGCCAAUUCAAAAAGGAUUUAAAAUCGAAAGUGGAAAUAAUCAAGAAAUUUGAAAGUGAUUUGGAGGAUAAAAAGAAAUUGGAAACAAAUUUGACCGAAGUUACUAACAAACUAGAAGAGCUGCAAAAUAAAUUAAAGAACAAAUCCCAUAACGAAUGUGUGGAACAUGUAAAGCAAAUUUCCGAAUUAACUAAUAGAGUUAACUGUUUGGAAACUGAUAAAGAGGCUAUGAGUCAUCAAAAUGAACAGCUAAAGCAGGAACUAAAUGAUGUGGCAAUUAUGCGUGAAAAACUUUUGGAAACCGAGCAAAGAUUGCAAGACCUACAAAAAAAGCUUGAGGCUAAAGAAAAUACCGCUGAAAUUGUGCCCGACUAUUCUAAAGAAGUGCAAUUGGAGUUUGCCAAAUUUCGUCAAGCCGAUGCGGAAAAACGACGUGAAAUCGAUAAGCUAAAGGUAGAGCUUUCGAAGGCUCAAUUCAGUAUGUGCCAGCUGGAACAGCAAAUACAACGUGAUCUGCAAUUGCUGGAAGUGCGCAGUGAACUCAUUAAUUCAUUGCAGUCAAAUGAAAAAACUAAUCGCAUUCACAUGGAGGAGCUGUUUGCCCAAGUGAGCGAAAAGAAUACCACAAUAAAUGAGCUUAAUGGUGAAUUGCAAACAAAAUCGGAAGAAUUCCGCAAUUUAUUUACCAAUUUAAGUGCUAAACAAGUGGAAGUAGCAAAUCAAGAGCACAUUAUUAAACUGCUGGAGGAGAGUAAUGAACGCAGCCAAAUGUUGCGUGUGAAACAGGAGGAAAAAAUAGGUCGCAUGGAGGAAGAGUUGGCACAUCUUAAGCAGACGAUCAAAAUCUAUCAACAGCAUUGUCAAAGCGCCUUUCUAAUGCCCUACUAAAGCAGACGUUUCUUUUUUAUAUCAGCCAUACUCAACGGAAAACUUUGUUUAGACAUAAACCAAAUUUAAACUAUAAAAUAAUUCUAACAGUACAAAGCCCUUUAUCACAGCAACAUUUUAAGCGGCCACACAGGCAAACAUUUACUCUACACUCCGGUUUUACCGCCCAGCAAUGUGGAAGCUAAUGAAAAUUGUUAUUAUUAUGUGAGUCAACGCAAGCGUAAACGUCAAGUGGAU
Molecule: RNA transcript, 2678 nt
Organism: Calliphora vicina (urban bluebottle blowfly)
Lineage: Eukaryota; Metazoa; Arthropoda; Insecta; Diptera; Calliphoridae
Gene: salto
Gene name: salto
Exons: 17
Source: RefSeq, a predicted model, not a curated record